Molecule: ribosomal RNA, 247 nt
Filed under: uncultured bacterium
Lineage: Bacteria
Description: partial 16S ribosomal RNA
Rfam family: Bacterial small subunit ribosomal RNA
Source: RNAcentral
CGGAAGGUCCGGGCGUUAUCCGGAUUUAUUGGGUUUAAAGGGAGCGUAGGCCGGAGAUUAAGCGUGUUUGUGAAAUGUAGACGCUCAACGUCUGCACUGCAGCGCGAACUGGUUUCCUUGAGUACGCACAAAGUGGGCGGAAUUCGUGGUGUAGCGGUGAAAUGCUUAGAUAUCACGAAGAACUCCGAUUGCGAAGGCAGCUCACUGGAGCGCAACUGACGCUGAAGCUCGAAAGUGCGGGUAUCGA